Molecule: long non-coding RNA, 1597 nt
Organism: Stegastes partitus (bicolor damselfish)
Lineage: Eukaryota; Metazoa; Chordata; Actinopteri; Pomacentridae
Exons: 3
Source: RefSeq, a predicted model, not a curated record
GGACUGUCAAAGAGAGAGCAGCCUUUGAGGCAGGCAAAGAAAAGUAAGGCACGCAGUCAAACGGCACAGCAGAUAACUACUCAGUGAGCGACUACCGAAAACCACCAAAAAGAGGAGAACCUGAGAAUAAGGGAAGAGCAGAAGAGGUGAGCGAAGCGAGGACAGAUUAAGAGCAGCGUGGACAGAUGAGCAGUGAAUGGGAUUUUCUUUCUGUGCGCCUUCUCACGUCUCCACGUGCAGCCUGUCAUCAGUAUCUAUGGAAUUAUCCCUCUUUGCUCUAAUCUUAACCUGACUGCUAAUCUCAGGCUGCGUCUGAGCCCUCCUCCUCCGGAUGACGUGUCCCAUAAACAAACUAACCCACUGCCAGAUACGACGCUCUGCAGGGAACUCCUCCGGGGAAGAAAUUAUUUGUUCAUCAGCGUCUCCUCCUCAUCAGCUGGUUUUCUAGUUUCUCACACUUAGUCUGGGCUUGGCUGAGUUUGACGAGACAAGAAAAAGCUCUCACAGGGCAUCCACCUCCUUUCUGCCUCAUCAGGAUGGAUGCCAGAGAAGAGACACUGAACCUCCUGAACAGGGUGUGGGACAAGCUGCGAGGUCUGCCUAACGCCAACCCUAUAGAGCUGGGAGCUUUCUUCAUCCUCUUAAGCUUCAUCCUGAUGGUCCUGCUAAUGAUAGUGCUGACCUGCGUGAGCUGCUGCUGCUGUCGCAAGAUCAAGCUAAAGGGACCCAGCGUUUGAUGAAUUUGCUUUAAGCAUCAAGAAUUAAUUAAACAGCCGAUCUCUGGAUGCCAAACUUUCUAAUCUGGCAUCGAAGCACGGUAGAUGGGGCAAAACAUCCUUGAAACACAAAACAGACUUUUUCUGCAGCUCUCUCAAGCACAAAGUGUCUUCCAAAGUGAAUGAAAACUAAUUUUCAGGAGUCCUGGGCAUGUAAUAGACACACAUAAACAGGGUGUGUCAGUGACACUUAUGAGGCCCAACCCUUGGACAGCAAAGCACCUGACAAACACACAGCGACACAGAGAACGACGUCCUGAAAGGCUGCCAAACACACCUGCUAAAGCUGCCAAACCUUCAGGAGAAUCUACUUUUCCCCAAGCAUCCCUGCAUAACAACAACACCUCUGGCCUGAGGAAAAGGCAGGGCCGGCUCCCACUGUCUUUAAUAAUGCAGGCGAUGCUUGGAAUAUACAGGAUUAAACCUGCGUAGGGCUAAUUAAAAAACUGCAAGCUGCACAGUGAGAUAUGAAAGGAAAAGCCAAAUUGGUUUGUUAAUGCUUUUCUGAACCCAACUAUGUGUCAUUCUUAGAGAAUGAAAAUUAGCCAUCAGACACAGAGUUAGGUAAGAAGCUCCUAAGGGGGAAACCUGAAAGCGUGCUUUCUUACAUACACAAGAAAGCAUGAAGAGAGAGCAAGUGUGCCCUCUGCUGUACAGAAAGGGACUAUAAUGUCUUAAGCUAUGUUUAUAUCUAAAACUGCAUGUUAUAAAUGUGCAAUAGUUGAAGCCGUUAUGUAAUGAUGUGAUGCUUUGACUCCACACUUGUUGUACUGCUUACUUUGACUUGUACAUAAUUUUUUAAAAAAGAAACUUUAACAGCA